GACAGCUUCAAUUAGACUUCAAUCACAAAGUGACACCUCAUUUUCAGAAAUUCUUCUUAAAAAUGCCGAAACCAGGACACUUGAGACUGAUUAAGUUUAGAUACGGAUACAACAAGAAUCAGACCGCGUCAGCUUCAGUGCCUGCAGUUCGAAGUAUUAAUUCUACACCCAAGGCGGUUAAAAUAGAAAUUCCUUCAGGGGCAUCAGAUACCGUACCCACAGACUUACAGGUACCAUCCCGUUGGAGAAGAUCCACAAUUGAUGAGAAAGAAUGUUCGUUUAUUAAUAGCGGAGGGGCAUCUUAAAUAUUUGUAUGACAUAGUUAAAAACUGAAAGCCAAAUUUGCCGUGUUAAAAAUCUAACACUCAAUACGUUUUUGCGGAGUGGCCGGAAAUAUUUGAAGUUAUCGAAAACGGACAGUACUGGCUGUGACGUCACGUCACUGGAUGUCAAGAUUAUCACUUUUCAAUUUACGAAGAAGAAGAAGAAGAGGAGCUGGUAAAUGAAGUAGAUACUAGGCAUUAUU
Anthonomus grandis grandis is the source of this 526-nucleotide long non-coding RNA. RefSeq lists it as uncharacterized. NCBI's taxonomy places the organism in Eukaryota, Metazoa, Arthropoda, Insecta, Coleoptera, Curculionidae. The transcript is spliced from 3 exons. The record is from RefSeq and is a predicted model, not a curated record.